Prunus mume (Japanese apricot) is the source of this 255-nucleotide non-coding RNA. The record is from RefSeq and is a predicted model, not a curated record. NCBI's taxonomy places the organism in Eukaryota, Viridiplantae, Streptophyta, Magnoliopsida, Rosales, Rosaceae.
GCUUGCCUACGGAUCGCUCAAAGCAAAUAUCUUGAUAUGGUAGAAUACUAAUCAUUCAAGGUGAUUUGCUAAUGUUGUGGUACAUAGAAGGGAUUGUAUCGUUUAUGGAUGCAUAACCGCCAUGACUCGCAUUAGACAAUUGCUUAAAUGCGGUAUUUAUGUCGACCAUAUGAAAGUGAGGAUUAUUCUGAAUGUAUCGCGUGCCUAAUGUUUAUUUAUUAAACCAAAAAGUAAAUUUAUCAUAUGGGCCAAGUG